This is a long non-coding RNA of Lemur catta (Ring-tailed lemur), 805 nucleotides long. RefSeq lists it as uncharacterized. The record is from RefSeq and is a predicted model, not a curated record. NCBI's taxonomy places the organism in Eukaryota, Metazoa, Chordata, Mammalia, Primates, Lemuridae. The transcript is spliced from 4 exons.
GCACGUUCAAGUUGUUUGCACUCUCCGAUUAAGUCGGGUUCUCCGGGCUGUGCGAGGCCAAGGUGGGGCUCAGAGCCCACUGGACGACAGAGAGCAGAACUGGAAGAACACAUGCGGUGACAGAUGUUGGCAGAUAUAACCAAGAGGUCCAGAGUGGAUGCCAAGGCGGAUUCCGUGUCGUGGCCACUGCGCACAGUGCUGCAGAGGAUGCAACAGGGCGGCACCCAGUCUCCCAUUGACCCUGUUCCUUGGAGGGGUACCAGCGUGGGACUGCUGGAUCCCGGGAUGGCAGUUCCAGUUCUAGCAGCCAUCUGACAGAAAAUAAGGAGAAAAGGUGAAUAUACAGAAGAAAGAACAGUGGAACAGGAGCCCGGGGUCACCGACACGGGACAGCGGUGUUGCAGUCUCCAGCAGGAGGAAGAGCUUCUCAUGUCCACGUGGCACCUGCCAUGGGCACGCCUCUACCAAACAGACCUUCAACUGGAAAAGCCAAGCGUGCGUGCGCAUGGGUGCUAUGAAAAUCAGUUAGUUUAAAAUAGACUUAGAAGUUGAGUAUUUAAAUGAAUGCACUUGUGAAAAUGUUUGCGGAAUGGGUAACGACCUCAAAUUUAUCCUUAAAGCAUCACCACAUUUGCUUAGAGUAGGACAUGCCCAAAGUGAGGAUUCAUGCCAUGUAAAGACACUGAGAGUGCCCUGAAGACCAGUGGUCAAAAUCUACUGUCACUAGGGAUCACUUUGCCCACACUAAAUGUGUCCAAACAGGAACAAUCAUUCACUGCAGGCAGUUUUUCUUGUCCCUUUGUUU